CGCGGGAGGCCCGGGUUCGAUUCCCGGCC
Molecule: non-coding RNA, 29 nt
Filed under: Gallus gallus (chicken)
Lineage: Eukaryota; Metazoa; Chordata; Aves; Galliformes; Phasianidae
Also listed under: 6 other names
Source: RNAcentral